Molecule: non-coding RNA, 112 nt
Organism: Acanthosepion pharaonis
Lineage: Eukaryota; Metazoa; Mollusca; Cephalopoda; Sepiida; Sepiidae
Source: the annotation of a GenBank genome assembly
UUACGGCCACAACACGUUGAAACCCCGGUUCUCGUACGACCUCCGAAGUUAAGCAAUGUCGAGCUUAGUCAGUACCUAGAUGGGUAACUGUUUGGGAAUACUAGGUGCUGUG